CGGACGGGUGAGUAACGCGUGAGAAUCUGCCCUUAGGAGGGGGACAACAGUUGGAAACGACUGCUAAUACCCCAUAUGCCGAGAGGUGAAACAUUAAUGGCCUGAGGAGGAGCUCGCGUCUGAUUAGCUAGUUGGUGGGGUAACGGCCUACCAAGGCGACGAUCAGUAGCUGGUCUGAGAGGAUGAUCAGCCACACUGGGACUGAGACACGGCCCAGACUCCUACGGGAGGCAGCAGUGGGGAAUUUUCCGCAAUGGGCGAAAGCCUGACGGAGCAAGACCGCGUGAGGGAGGAAGGUCUGUGGAUUGUAAACCUCUUUUCUCAGGGAAGAAGAACUGACGGUACCUGAGGAAUCAGCAUCGGCUAACUCCGUGCCAGCAGCCGCGGUAAUACGGAGGAUGCAAGCGUUAUCCGGAAUUAUUGGGCGUAAAGCGUCCGCAGGCGGCCAAUUAAGUCUGCUGUUAAAGCCUGGGGCUUAACCCCAGAUCGGCAGUGGAAACUGGUUGGCUAGAGUACGGCAGGGGUAGAGGGAAUUCCCAGUGUAGCGGUGAAAUGCGUAGAUAUUGGGAAGAACACCAGUGGCGAAGGCGCUCUACUGGGCCGAAACUGACGCUGAGGGACGAAAGCUAGGGGAGCGAAAGGGAUUAGAUACCCCUGUAGUC
This 662-nucleotide ribosomal RNA is filed under the name uncultured cyanobacterium. Its description in RNAcentral is "bacterial SSU rRNA". It matches the Rfam family "Bacterial small subunit ribosomal RNA", at positions 99 to 795 of the family's 1533-position model. The record is from RNAcentral. Lineage: Bacteria; Bacillati; Cyanobacteriota.